This 557-nucleotide ribosomal RNA is filed under the name uncultured Novosphingobium sp. RNAcentral describes it as "bacterial SSU rRNA". It matches the Rfam family "Bacterial small subunit ribosomal RNA", at positions 102 to 694 of the family's 1533-position model. Lineage: Bacteria; Pseudomonadati; Pseudomonadota; Alphaproteobacteria; Sphingomonadales; Sphingomonadaceae. The record is from RNAcentral.
ACGGGUGCGUAACGCGUGGGAAUCUGCCCUUGGGUUCGGAAUAACAGUGAGAAAUUACUGCUAAUACCGGAUGAUGUCUUCGGACCAAAGAUUUAUCGCCCAGGGAUGAGCCCGCGUAGGAUUAGGUAGUUGGUGGGGUAAUGGCCUACCAAGCCGACGAUCCUUAGCUGGUCUGAGAGGAUGAUCAGCCACACUGGGACUGAGACACGGCCCAGACUCCUACGGGAGGCAGCAGUGGGGAAUAUUGGACAAUGGGCGAAAGCCUGAUCCAGCAAUGCCGCGUGAGUGAUGAAGGCCUUAGGGUUGUAAAGCUCUUUUACCAGGGAUGAUAAUGACAGUACCUGGAGAAUAAGCUCCGGCUAACUCCGUGCCAGCAGCCGCGGUAAUACGGAGGGAGCUAGCGUUGUUCGGAAUUACUGGGCGUAAAGCGCGCGUAGGCGGUUACUCAAGUCAGAGGUGAAAGCCCGGGGCUCAACCCCGGAACUGCCUUUGAAACUAGGUAACUAGAAUCUUGGAGAGGUCAGUGGAAUUCCGAGUGUAGAGGUGAAAUUCGUAGA